GUAAACGCUGGCGGCGUGCUUAACACAUGCAAGUCGAACGAGAUUUUACAGAACACCGUAGAGUCUAGUGGCAGACGGGUGAGUAACACGUGGGAAACCUACCUAAAAGUGGGGGAUAACCCCGGGAAACCGGAGCUAAUACCCCAUAAGACCACAGUAAGACAUCUUACAGAGGUCAAAGCCGUAUAGCAAUAUACGGCGCUUUUUGAGGGUCCCGCGUCCUAUCAGCUAGUUGGUGAGGUAACGGCUCACCAAGGCUAUGACGGGUAGCCGGCCUUAAAGGGUGUACGGCCACAAUGGAACUGAGACACGGUCCAUACUCCUACGGGAGGCAGCAGUGGGGAAUUUUGGACAAUGGGCGAAAGCCUGAUCCAGCAACGCCGCGUGAAGGAUGAAGGUCUUCGGAUUGUAAACUUCUUUUAGGGGGAACGAAUAAAUUGACGGUACUCCCAGAAAAAGCCACGGCUAACUACGU
This 475-nucleotide ribosomal RNA is filed under the name uncultured bacterium. RNAcentral describes it as "bacterial SSU rRNA". It matches the Rfam family "Bacterial small subunit ribosomal RNA", at positions 29 to 506 of the family's 1533-position model. The record is from RNAcentral.